UUCUAUUCUGAUAUCAGGGAUGCU
This 24-nucleotide unclassified non-coding RNA is filed under the name Mus musculus (house mouse). RNAcentral describes it as "oocyte_clustered_small_RNA12231". The record is from RNAcentral. Lineage: Eukaryota; Metazoa; Chordata; Mammalia; Rodentia; Muridae.